AGAGUUUGAUCAUGGCUCAGAUUGAACGCUGGCGGCAGGCCUAACACAUGCAAGUCGAGCGGUAGCACAAGAGAGCUUGCUCUCUGGGUGACGAGCGGCGGACGGGUGAGUAAUAUCUGGGAAACUGCCUGAUGGAGGGGGAUAACUACUGGAAACGGUAGCUAAUACCGCAUAACGUCUUCGGACCAAAGUGGGGGACCUUCGGGCCUCACGCCAUCAGAUGUGCCCAGAUGGGAUUAGCUAGUAGGUGGGGUAAUGGCUCACCUAGGCGACGAUCCCUAGCUGGUCUGAGAGGAUGACCAGCCACACUGGAACUGAGACACGGUCCAGACUCCUACGGGAGGCAGCAGUGGGGAAUAUUGCACAAUGGGCGCAAGCCUGAUGCAGCCAUGCCGCGUGUGUGAAGAAGGCCUUCGGGUUGUAAAGCACUUUCAGCGAGGAGGAAGGGUAGUGUGUUAAUAGCACAUUGCAUUGACGUUACUCGCAGAAGAAGCACCGGCUAACUCCGUGCCAGCAGCCGCGGUAAUACGGAGGGUGCAAGCGUUAAUCGGAAUUACUGGGCGUAAAGCGCACGCAGGCGGUUUGUUAAGUCAGAUGUGAAAUCCCCGCGCUUAACGUGGGAACUGCAUUUGAAACUGGCAAGCUAGAGUCUUGUAGAGGGGGGUAGAAUUCCAGGUGUAGCGGUGAAAUGCGUAGAGAUCUGGAGGAAUACCGGUGGCGAAGGCGGCCCCCUGGACAAAGACUGACGCUCAGGUGCGAAAGCGUGGGGAGCAAACAGGAUUAGAUACCCCGGUAGU
RNAcentral lists this ribosomal RNA (797 nucleotides) under uncultured bacterium. Its description in RNAcentral is "bacterial SSU rRNA". It matches the Rfam family "Bacterial small subunit ribosomal RNA", at positions 8 to 794 of the family's 1533-position model. The record is from RNAcentral.